This 390-nucleotide ribosomal RNA is filed under the name uncultured bacterium. RNAcentral describes it as "bacterial SSU rRNA". It matches the Rfam family "Bacterial small subunit ribosomal RNA", at positions 28 to 419 of the family's 1533-position model. The record is from RNAcentral.
GACGAACGCUGGCGGCGUGCUUAACACAUGCAAGUCGAGCGGUAAGGCCCUUUCGGGGGUACACGAGCGGCGAACGGGUGAGUAACACGUGGGUGACCUGCCCUCAGCUCUGGGAUAAGCCUGGGAAACCGGGUCUAAUACCGGAUAUGACUCCAUGACGCAUGUUGUGGGGUGGAAAGCCUUGUGCGGCUGAGGAUGGGCCCGCGGCCUAUCAGCUUGUUGGUGGGGGAUGGCCUACCAAGGCGACGACGGGUAGCCGGCCUGAGAGGGCGACCGGCCACACUGGGACUGAGACACGGCCCAGACUCCUACGGGAGGGCAGCAGUGGGGAAUCUUGCGCAAUGGGCGAAAGCCUGACGCAGCGACGCCGCGUGAGGGAUGACGGCCUGG